CAUCUUUAGUCAUAAGGGAAAUGCAAAUCAAAACAACCCUGAGAUUUCACCUCACACCAGUGCGAUUGGCUAAGAUCAAAAACUCAGGUGACAGCAGAUGCUGGCGAGGAUGUGGAGAAAGAGGAACACUCCUCCAUUGUUGGUGGGAUUGCAGACUGGUAAAACCAUUCUGGAAAUCAGUCUGGAGGUUCUUCAGAAAAUUGGACAUUGAACUGCCUGAGGAUCCAGCUAUACCUCUCUUGGGCAUAUACCCAAAAGAUGCCUCAACAUAUAAAA
This 276-nucleotide long non-coding RNA is filed under the name Rattus norvegicus (Norway rat). Its description in RNAcentral is "long non-coding RNA NONRATT023104". The record is from RNAcentral. Lineage: Eukaryota; Metazoa; Chordata; Mammalia; Rodentia; Muridae.